Molecule: small nuclear RNA, 107 nt
Filed under: Catagonus wagneri (Chacoan peccary)
Lineage: Eukaryota; Metazoa; Chordata; Mammalia; Artiodactyla; Tayassuidae
Source: RNAcentral
GCGCUCUCUUUGGCAGCCCAUGUUCUAAAACUGGAACGAUAUAGAGAAGAUUAGUCUGGCCCCUGUGCAAAGAUAACACACAAAUUCAUAAAAUAUUUUAUAUUUUU